This 253-nucleotide ribosomal RNA is filed under the name uncultured bacterium. RNAcentral describes it as "partial 16S ribosomal RNA". It matches the Rfam family "Bacterial small subunit ribosomal RNA", at positions 524 to 776 of the family's 1533-position model. The record is from RNAcentral.
UACGUAGGCACCAAGCGUUGUUCGGAAUUACUGGGCGUAAAGCGAGUGUAGGCGGUUUGCCAAGGCGGUUGUGAAAUCUCCCGGCUUAACUGGGAGGGUGCGACUGAAACUGGCAGGCUGGAGUGCGGGAGAGGAGAGUGGAAUUCCUGGUGUAGCGGUGAAAUGCGUAGAUAUCAGGAGGAACACCGGUGGUGAAGACGGCUCUCUGGACCGCUACUGACGCUGAGACUCGAAAGCGUGGGGAGCAAACAGG